AUAAACGCUGGCGGCGUGCAUGAGACAUGCAAGUCGAACGAAGGAUCGGGCUUGCUCGAUCCUUAGUGGCGGACGGCUGAGUAACGCGUAGGUGACCUACCCCGAAGUGGGGAAUAACUGCCCGAAAGGGUGGCUAAUACCGCAUGUGGUCGCACGUUCAUUCGUGCGAGUAACGCCGCAAGGCGCUUCGGGAGGGGCCUGCGUCCGAUUAGCUCGUUGGUGGGGUAAUGGCUUACCAAGGCGACGAUCGGUAGGUGGUCUGAGAGGACGAUCACCCAGACUGGGACUGAGACACGGCCCAGACUCCUACGGGAGGCAGCAGUCGGGAAUUUUGCUCAAUGGGGGAAACCCUGAAGCAGCAACGCCGCGUGAGGGAUGAAGGCCUUCGGGUUGUAAACCUCUUUUGUCAGGGACGAUGAUGACGGUACCUGGCGAAUAAGCCACGGCUAACUACGUG
Molecule: ribosomal RNA, 457 nt
Filed under: uncultured bacterium
Lineage: Bacteria
Description: partial 16S ribosomal RNA
Rfam family: Bacterial small subunit ribosomal RNA
Source: RNAcentral